RNAcentral lists this long non-coding RNA (1753 nucleotides) under Phascolarctos cinereus (koala). Its description in RNAcentral is "lncRNA (ENSPCIG00000008231.2)". The record is from RNAcentral. Lineage: Eukaryota; Metazoa; Chordata; Mammalia; Diprotodontia; Phascolarctidae.
AGGUCCUGGUAAUUCUGAUGGGGAUUGGGACAGAACUUUGUGACUGAUCCCCAGGACCCAUACAUUCCUUCCCCAGGUAGGGGAUCUGCUUGUGUGUGCCCUCCACACCCCGCUCCCCAAUCUAGAAUACUCUGGAUUUUCUUAGGUAGACAAGCAACCAUGGUCCUUUUGGGGUAGAGGAAACCCUGGUGGAUCCCGUGUGGACAGUUACAGAGUCAAGAGCUGGGCCCUGAAUUUUGUCCAAUGCUUCCUGGCCUUGGUUUUCAUCACAGGAGCCAUCAUCAGGGCCAAGUAGGCUGGUAGGUCCGUAGCUACUAGGAUCAUUAUAGCCUUUUGGGCACAGGCUAUGUAUGGCAGCCUUCAAGUUCGGAAAGGAAAGAGCAGAAAUACUUCCCCCUCCUCCAGUUGGUACAUAGUUGUCCCAAAGGAACAAACCUCGAACUGACCCGUGUUGUCCCCUUUCUCCCCACCCUCUCACUUUCUGUUGAGACUGAACCCUAUCGAGCCCACUCCACGUGCUCCGGGAUCUGUCCCAGCCCUGGGGUUGCACCUCAGAGGACCCAGCGGCUGCUGCUGCUGCUGCCGCCGCCGCUGCUCCGCUGGUGGCGUACCUGGCGAUCGGAGUGAGAGGCGGUGAGUUGGGGCUCCGAGCCUGGGAAGGAAGGGACUGGAGAAGACUGGGUGCCUCGGCAUGGGACGGGACUGGGACUCGCUGCGCUCCCGCGGGUAACGGCGCCCAGCUGCAUCCUGCUUUCCCUCCCCGUGGGCGCGGGAAAGACGAGGAAGCCCCCACAGCCCUGGAAAGGGUAGCCGUGGCUCCGUGCGCCCGGAGGGCUUCUGCUUUUCCACCCACGCUCCUUAACUGCUUGCAUUACCCGGAGUGCAGAGUAACUCUUCUAGACCCUUACGUGCGUGCUUUGGUGGGUGGGGGAAUCCUUUCCUUUGCCCUUUCUUGCCAGCGCCUACAACGCUGAGACGUUGGUGGAACUUUCUGCUGCUUUUUGGAUGCCUCUGCCUCGGGCUGUGGGCAUCCUGGGGUCUUCUCACCCCUCCCUCCCUGUAGCAACAGCAAACGUGACCCAGGGAGAAGAGGGGAGGGAGGGAGGGAGAGAAGGGGAGCGAGAGGCAGUGCUAGUUGUGGCAUCCAGGUGUGACUCGCAGCUGCCAGUCUGUAGGAUGUGUGAGGAAGAUAGUUCAAGCCGUUAGCUUCUCCUUCGUUGGGUUCCUGAUUGCCAUCCUAUAUAUAACCCAACAAGGGGAGAGAACAUGGAAAGAAGGGUAAAGGGCAUGUAUCUGGGAAAGACACACACAAGUCCCUGAAGGAGUUGGGGUACAUUUCUCUCCCCUCCCAACUUCUGAAAUUUGAAAUCAUUGCUGGCCAGCGGUAGAGGCAAGAGGGGCACCCACAGGAAACGCCAGCCGGUCUAAUGAUGAAUCUUGGUGCCAAAACCUUACAUGAGAGUCACUUGUUAAAGGCAAGACAGGGCUCUGGCUGCAUAACCUGGCAGAUGAGUUGAUCGCUUGCUGUCCUCCCUACCUCUUACUUGGGCAGGGUGUGAGGAAACUAAAAUCUGUCAUCUUGUUGGGUAUUUUUCUCUUGAAGGUUAUUCCUAGCCAUUCAGAGAAGCUUGGUAUAGAAGGUUGAGGAAGGAAAAUUAAAAGUCCUUAUUGUCACCCUAUUAUCUAUCAUUGAUAUAUGUAAGUAUCUUUGGCAAGUUUGGGUGAGCUGUUUUCAUCAUAAUUUUAAAAAAUA